RNAcentral lists this ribosomal RNA (762 nucleotides) under uncultured fungus. RNAcentral describes it as "SSU rRNA". It matches the Rfam family "Eukaryotic small subunit ribosomal RNA", at positions 803 to 1591 of the family's 1831-position model. Lineage: Eukaryota; Fungi. The record is from RNAcentral.
UUUAGCAUGGAAUAAUGGAAUAGGACUCGCGUCUUAUUUUGUUGGUUUGGAGAUGUGAGUAAUGAUGAAUAGGGACAGUUGGGGGCAUUGGUAUUCAGUAGUCAGAGGUGAAAUUCUUGGAUUUACUGAAGACUAACUAGUGCGAAAGCAUUUGCCAAGGAUGUUUUCAUUGAUCAAGAACGAAAGUUAGAGGAUCGAAGACGAUUAGAUACCGUCGUAGUCUUAACCAUAAACGAUGCCGACUAGGGAUCGGCGGAGGACGUUUAGCGUUGCCGCCGGGACCUUGCGAGAAAUCAAAGUUUUUGGGUUCUGGGGGGAGUAUGGUCGCAAGGCUGAAACUUAAAGGAAUUGACGGAAGGGCACCACCAGGAGUGGAGCCUGCGGCUUAAUUUGACUCAACACGGGAAAACUCACCAGGUCCGGACAUGGUAAGGAUUGACAGAAUGAGAGCUCUUUCAAGAUUCUAUGGGUGGUGGUGCAUGGUCGUUCUUAGUUGGUGGAGUGAUUUGUCUGGUUAAUUCCGAUAACGAACGAGACCUCUACCUGUCAUACUACAGCAGUUGAUGUGAAUCGGCUGGUGUUCUAUGAGGGACUGACUGGGGUUACCAGUAGGAAGUUUGAGGCAAUAACAGGUCUGUGAUGCCCUUAGAUGUUCUGGGCUGCACGCGCGCUACACUGAUGGAGGCAGCGAGUCUUACCUGAACCGGAAGGUUUGGGAAAUCUUGUGAAACUCCAUCGUGCUGGGGAUAGGGCAUUGCAAUA